UUGAAAGUGUGUGGAACAUUGUGGGAUGAGGUCAAUUGUCAUAUUGGUAUGGGUGGUUAGCAUGGAAUUUAUGUGAUGGAUUGCUUGUUAGGUAGAGGAAAGGGUCUACCUGUUAUGCAUUUAGUGUUCCACUGCUUCACUAUUGGGCCUUUGUCGUUUGGGCAUUGCAAACAAUUGAUAAUUCGGAAAAGUAUUGCAUUUCCGACUUGAUAUACAUGCAAAUUUGAGUCUUUUUCUUUUGCUUUUUA
RNAcentral lists this long non-coding RNA (248 nucleotides) under Lathyrus oleraceus (garden pea). RNAcentral's name for it is "Pisum sativum (pea) long non-coding RNA (PSAT_LNC003264)". The record is from RNAcentral. Lineage: Eukaryota; Viridiplantae; Streptophyta; Magnoliopsida; Fabales; Fabaceae.